GCGGGAGUAGCUCAGUGGUAGAGCGGUAGCCUUCCAAGCUAUUAACGCGGGUUCGAUUCCCGUCUCCCGCUCCA
Molecule: transfer RNA, 74 nt
Filed under: Armatimonadota bacterium
Lineage: Bacteria; Bacillati; Armatimonadota
Description: tRNA-Gly
Rfam family: tRNA
About the family: Transfer RNA (tRNA) molecules are approximately 80 nucleotides in length. Their secondary structure includes four short double-helical elements and three loops (D, anti-codon, and T loops). Further hydrogen bonds mediate the characteristic L-shaped molecular structure. tRNAs have two regions of fundamental functional importance: the anti-codon, which is responsible for specific mRNA codon recognition, and the 3' end, to which the tRNAs corresponding amino acid is attached (by aminoacyl-tRNA synthetases). tRNAs cope with the degeneracy of the genetic code in two manners: having more than one tRNA (with a specific anti-codon) for a particular amino acid; and 'wobble' base-pairing, i.e. permitting non-standard base-pairing at the 3rd anti-codon position.
Source: RNAcentral